CACUCCUACGGGAGGCAGCAGUGGGGAAUAUUGGACAAUGGGCGCAAGCCUGAUCCAGCCAUGCCGCGUGAGUGAUGAAGGCCCUAGGGUUGUAAAGCUCUUUCACCGGUGAAGAUAAUGACGGUAACCGGAGAAGAAGCCCCGGCUAACUUCGUGCCAGCAGCCGCGGUAAUACGAAGGGGGCUAGCGUUGUUCGGAUUUACUGGGCGUAAAGCGCACGUAGGCGGACUAUUAAGUCAGGGGUGAAAUCCCGGGGCUCAACCCCGGAACUGCCUUUGAUACUGGUAGUCUUGAGUUCGAGAGAGGUGAGUGGAAUUCCGAGUGUAGAGGUGAAAUUCGUAGAUAUUCGGAGGAACACCAGUGGCGAAGGCGGCUCACUGGCUCGAUACUGACGCUGAGGUGCGAAAGCGUGGGGAGCAAACAGGAUUAGAUACCCGGGUAGUCCCA
Molecule: ribosomal RNA, 447 nt
Filed under: uncultured organism
Description: partial 16S ribosomal RNA
Rfam family: Bacterial small subunit ribosomal RNA
Source: RNAcentral